UGGUGGAGUGAUCUGUCAGGUCUAUUCCGGUAACGAGCGAGACCACGGCCUCUAGUUAUCAUGUCGUCGGGCCUUGCGCCUAGUCGUCUAACUAGAGGGACUAUUGGUGUUUAAACCAGAGGAAGCGUGGCAAUAACA
RNAcentral lists this ribosomal RNA (138 nucleotides) under uncultured eukaryote. Its description in RNAcentral is "partial 18S ribosomal RNA". It matches the Rfam family "Eukaryotic small subunit ribosomal RNA", at positions 1299 to 1458 of the family's 1831-position model. The record is from RNAcentral.